Molecule: long non-coding RNA, 3546 nt
Filed under: Homo sapiens (human)
Lineage: Eukaryota; Metazoa; Chordata; Mammalia; Primates; Hominidae
Description: non-protein coding lnc-YTHDF1-1:1
Source: RNAcentral
GAGAUGGAGUUUUGCUCUUGUCACCCAUGGUGGAGUGCUGGAGUGCAACCUCAGCUCAGUGUAACCUCCGCCUCCCGGUUUCAAGUGAUUCUCCUGCCUUAGCCUCCCAGGUAGCUGGGAUUACAGGCACGUGCCACCACACCCGGCUAAUUUUUGUAUUUUUAGUAGAGAUGGGGUUUCACCAUGUCGGCCAGGCUGAUCUCGAACUCCUGACCUCAGGUAACCCACCCGUCUCGGCCUCCCAAAGUACUGGGAUUACAGGCGUGAGCCCGUGCACCUGGCCUAUGCUAGAAUUCUUAAAUGUCAUAAUAAAUUGCAAGCUAUUGGAAAAGCCUUCAGCUGGAUUUACAGUUUGAGGUGCCUCUGCCUGUAGAAGUUUCCUUGGAGGGGCUGGGUGGUAGCUCAGGUGCAAGCCCAAGUGUGCUCUGGGCUUCUGGUGGGUUACAGGCUGGCUCUGCAGGUUGCUGUCUGCAUUGGGUCUUAAAUGGCCAGGCUAGGGGAUGACAUGGAGGAAACGUGUGGCCUGUGGUACUUUGGGCUGAAUCCUGUCCCUCCAGGCCCCUCGCUGUCCAGAAUUGUUGCAGUCUUUGGUAGGACAGAAAUGCCCUCUCUGGCCGGAGACCAGCUGUAAGCCCAGGCCGGCUUCUGCUGUGAUCUCACCAUAGGAGGCCCGUGAGAAAGGAGUCCGCACCUUGGCUCCCAGCUUGGGGCAGCCCCGUUACUCUGUGACUUCAGUCACCAGACCACAACUCAUGGCUUCCCUCAGUAUCCGUCUCCAUCCUGUGGACUCCACACAGUGUGGGCGAGGCAUUGGUGGCCCGCCCUCCUCCCCGCGCAUCCCCACGGCCGGCGCUCACGUUUCCCUGCAGCCUGGAGUUGCUCCAUCACGUAACUGUGGCUAACUUUCGGGUGCACACAUCUGGAGUUAAAAGAAGCGCCUGGGCCGGGCGCGGUGGCUCACGCUUGUAAUCCCAGCACUUUGGGAGGCCAAGACAGGCGGAUCACGAGGUCAGGAGAUUGAGACCAUCCUGGCUAACAUGGUGAAACCCCCUCUCUACUAAAAAUACAAAAAUUUAGCCGGGCGUGGUGGUGGGCGCCUGUAGUCCCAGCUACUCGGGAGUGGAGUAGGUGGUGCACAGGUGAUGAGGCCCUUGGCGGCUUUGGGCUUUGGCCACCACUUGUGAGACCAGGAAGAGUGUUGCCUCAGUCCUGUGGAACUGUCAGGCUUGGAAGAGGAGACUUUCUGUGGGUGGGCAGCAGCUGUUUCUCUGGAACAGCAUCCCCCGCUUGGCCCUGUGGAGGGUCCAGGUUCUCUGGGACAGCGUCCCCCGCUUGGCCCUGUGGAGGCUCCAGGUUCUCUGGGACAGCGUCCCCCGCUUGGCCCUGUGGAGGCUCCAGGUUCUCUGGGACAGCGUCCCCCGCUUGGCCCUGUGGAGGGUCCAGGGCACAGGGGUGGGCAAUGGUGUGCUUCGGGGUGAGAAGUGCCUGGGUUCGGUGUCCAGCCCAGACAGGAGGGGACGUCCAGAGCUGGUGUCAUGGUUCCCCUGCCUCCCCCAAGUGCCGGCUUCUGCCGUGAUGUUCUCAUCACGGGAGGAGACCUCAAGGUGCAGUUUGCUGCUUGGGCUCGUCCAAGCUGGGCUAACGUAGCCCUAGCCUUCUCCAAAGAUGGUGGCAGGUGGCAGGUGAGGUCAUUCCUCAGUCUGGGUACAGGUGUGCAGGAGGGUGGCCUUGACGGGGCCUCAGAAUACCAGGUCCCUAGGCCAACUUGCUCUGCCAGGCCUCAGGGAUGGGAUGGCCUCCCUUCCCCCUCCCCCUUAUAUUUUGGGAAGCUUGCUGCACCCUGGGGCUGGGCGUGAGCACCUGGAGGUGCAGGGACAAGCAGCAGCUUGGGGCUGGGGUGGGGGCACAGGUGUCUGUCUUCACUAGCUGGGGACACUGCAUCCCUGCAGAGGAGCGGUGAGAGAGGGACUCUGGUCCCAACAUCAAGAAGAGCUGCUUGAGGUGUAUUCGAGGGGGUGGUAUGGGGUGGUGGCUGGUGAGGUGACGGCAUUCCUUUUUUAAAAAACUUACUUUGGAAAUAAAGUCAAAUAUACAGAAAAAUUGCAAGAGUAAGCAUAGUAUAGAGAAUACUCUUCACCCAGAUUCACUUAUUGUUAAUAUUUUGAUCCCUUUCCUUGAUCAUUUGGUUGCUGUGUAUGUGUCUGCAUGUGUAUUGCAUGUUUGUGCAUGUACUGUGAUGCUUAUGUGCAUGCGUGUAUAUGUGUAGAUACAUGUAUGUAUGCCCGUGUGUGUCUGUGUGAGAACGUGUGUGCAAUUGUGUUUGCCUGUGUGUGCCCGUGUGGUGUGUGCACGUGUGUGCCUGUGUGUGUGCCUGUGUGGUAUGUCUGUGGUGUGUUGUGCACAGGUGUGUGCCUGUGUGGUGUGUGUGCAUGUGUGUCUGUGUGCCUGUGUGGUUUGUGUGCUGGGGUGGCAUUUGUUUUGGGAGCCCUGGGCAAGAACAGGAGGAUGCAAAGCCACUGCUCUCCACCCCUCUCCCCUGCCUACUGCAGAGGGUGACUCCUCCCUCCUCCUCCGCAGGUGCAAGCCCCUCAGCCUGGUGGGGUCUGGGUUCAGUGGGAGCCUCAGAAGUUGUCUGGCUUCUUCCUGCUGGGUCCCCUGGGGCUGGGCCCUCAACCACCUCUUCUGAGCUCUGGGCCAUCCAUCCUCCUGGCGAUCAUCCUCCUGGCGAUCCAUCCUCCUGUCACCAGCCCCCCUGCCGAGGUCCUCAUCUCGAGUUGUUCUAGUUUGACAACUUAAAAGCCUCAACAUCCCAAGUUGCAGGAUGGGGAGACAAUGGGGGGGUCACUGAGGUCGUGGCAAGGUCUGGAGGGGCCACACCAGUGGGGGACCCUUGUCAUCACCAAGGAGAGCAGUCCCCAACUUGGGGGGGUUGUUCAUGGAGAAGCCAGGCUGGUUGGGGGAAAUGACGAGUCCAGCAGGUUUGGUUUUGCAGGUGGACCAGGCCGGGGGUGUGCUUGGGUGGAGGCUGGGCGGGGCCUCUGCCUGUGUACGAGGUUGGAGGGGUGUGGGCAGGGGGCAAGGGGUGCCAGGGCUGUGUGGAGCAGCCUGGCGGAGCAGGGAAGUGGGCCCCACUGUGGGAGCACGGUGCAGCAGACUGCAGGCCUGGGGACAGCCGGAGAGCUUUGGGAUGUGGGUGUGGCCAGGAGCACGCUGGGAUUUGCGCCCUGGAAGAGUAGCACCUGUGGAACGGUCCCACAUGGGACAGUGGGUCCUAGAGGAGUCCCGGGAGGGGGUGUUUCUGUCCUGGGGGUGGUCGCUGUCCCAGGCACAAGCUCUCCUUUGUGGCUGGGGAAGCCCUGGGCAGUAGAGUCCGUGGAGUUGGAGGUGGGUUUCAUCCCUGCAAGUGCACAGAGUAAAGGGAGUGCCUGCAGCCUGAGGCAGGAGUCCCAGGAACUGGGCCAGGACCACAGCCCCUUCUGCCUUCCUGAGAGGCACUGAGGGGCCCUGCCCCCUGGGGUCUGUGUAAGCCUAGGGUAGUCUCCUUGU